AGCAGUAGCCGCGGUAAUACAGAGGAUGCAAGCGUUAUCCGGAAUGAUUGGGCGUAAAGGGAGCGCAGGCGGUUUAGUAAGUCUGAAGUUAAAGGCAUUGGCUCAACCAAUGUAUGCUUUGGAAACUGUUAGACUUGAGUGCAGAAGGGGAGAGUGGAAUUCCAUGUGUAGCGGUGAAAUGCGUAGAUAUAUGGAGGAACACCGGUGGCGAAAGCGGCUCUCUGGUCUGUCACUGACGCUGAGGCUCGAAAGCGUGGGUAGCGAACAGGAUUAGAUACCCCAGUAGUCCCUGUCUCUUAUACA
This 303-nucleotide ribosomal RNA is filed under the name uncultured bacterium. RNAcentral describes it as "partial 16S ribosomal RNA". It matches the Rfam family "Bacterial small subunit ribosomal RNA", at positions 507 to 808 of the family's 1533-position model. The record is from RNAcentral.